GCGGCGUGCCUAACACAUGCAAGUCGAGCGAGGGUUUGCUCAGUAUUGAGUAUUCUAAGACUAGAAUGUUCAAUUCUGAGCAAAACCAAGCGGCGGACGGGUGAGUAACGCGUGGGUAACCUGCCCUAUACACAUGGAUAACAUACUGAAAAGUUUACUAAUACAUGAUAAUAUAUAUUUGCGGCAUCGCAGAUAUAUCAAAGUGUUAGCGGUAUAGGAUGGACCCGCGUCUGAUUAGCUAGUUGGUGAGAUAACUGCCCACCAAGGCGACGAUCAGUAGCCGACCUGAGAGGGUGAUCGGCCACAUUGGAACUGAGACACGGUCCAAACUCCUACGGGAGGCAGCAGUGGGGAAUAUUGCACAAUGGGCGAAAGCCUGAUGCAGCAACGCCGCGUGAACGAUGAAGGUCUUCGGAUCGUAAAGUUCUGUUGCAGGGGAAGAUA
RNAcentral lists this ribosomal RNA (444 nucleotides) under Peptostreptococcus stomatis. Its description in RNAcentral is "bacterial SSU rRNA". It matches the Rfam family "Bacterial small subunit ribosomal RNA", at positions 39 to 450 of the family's 1533-position model. The record is from RNAcentral. Lineage: Bacteria; Bacillati; Bacillota; Clostridia; Peptostreptococcales; Peptostreptococcaceae.